AAUGAACGCUGGCGGCGUGCUUAACACAUGCAAGUCGAACGAGAACGCCUCAGCUUGCUGAGGCAAGUAAAGUGGCGCACGGGUGAGUAACGCGUGGGUAAUCUACCUCCGAAUUGGGGAUAACAUUGCGAAAGCGGUGCUAAUACCGAAUAAUAUCCUCAAGACUCAGGUUUUGAGGACCAAAGGUGGCCUCUACAUGUAAGCUACUGUUUGGAGAUGAGCCCGCGUACCAUUAGCUUGUUGGUGGGGUAACGGCCUACCAAGGCUGCGAUGGUUAGCUGGUCUGAGAGGAUGAUCAGCCACACUAGAACUGACACACGGUCCAGACUCCUACGGGAGGCAGCAGUGAGGAAUUUUGCGCAAUGGGGGAAACCCUGACGCAGCAACGCCGCGUGAGUGAUGAAGGCCUUCGGGUCGGUAAAGACUCUGUCAGUGGAGAAGUCUGUCCGGUUGGAUAAUACCGACUGGCGAAUGACGG
RNAcentral lists this ribosomal RNA (478 nucleotides) under uncultured bacterium. RNAcentral's name for it is "bacterial SSU rRNA". It matches the Rfam family "Bacterial small subunit ribosomal RNA", at positions 29 to 495 of the family's 1533-position model. The record is from RNAcentral.